CCUACGGGAGGCUGCAGUGGGGGAUCUUGCACAAUGGGGGGAACCCUGAUGCAGCGACGCCGCGUGGGUGAAGGAGUGCUUCGGCAUGUAAAGCUCUAUCGGCAGGGAAGAAGCAAGACGGUACCUGACUAAGAAGCCCCGGCUAACUACGUGCCAGCAGCCGCGGUAAUACGGAGGGGGCGAGCGUUAUCCGGAUUCACUGGGGGUAAAGGGAGCGUAGGCGGCCAUGCAAGCCAGGGGUGAAAGCCCGCGGCCCAACCCCGGAACUGCCCUUGGGACUGGAUGGCUGGAGUGCGGAAGGGGCAGGCGGAAUUCCAGGUGUAGCGGUGAAAUGCGUAGAUAUCAGGAGGAACACCGGCGGCGAAGGCGGCCUGUUGGACCGCGACUGACGUUGAGGCGCGAAAGCGUGGGGAGCGAACAGGAUUAGAUACCCCUGUAGUC
Molecule: ribosomal RNA, 441 nt
Filed under: uncultured bacterium
Lineage: Bacteria
Description: partial 16S ribosomal RNA
Rfam family: Bacterial small subunit ribosomal RNA
Source: RNAcentral